RNAcentral lists this ribosomal RNA (527 nucleotides) under uncultured bacterium. Its description in RNAcentral is "bacterial LSU rRNA". It matches the Rfam family "Bacterial large subunit ribosomal RNA", at positions 1231 to 1752 of the family's 2925-position model. The record is from RNAcentral.
GGGGAGCGUUCUCUAAGCCUGCGAAGGUGUGCUGCGAGGCAUGCUGGAGGUAUGAGAAGUGCGAAUGCUGACAUGAGUAACGUUAAAACGGGUGAAAAACCCGUUCGCCGAAAACCCAAGGUUUCCUGAGCUACGUUAAUCGGCUCAGGGUGAGUCGGAUCCUAAGGCGAGGCCGAAAGGCGUAGUCGAUGGACAUCAGGUUAAUAUUCCUGAACCGACUGUUACUGCGAUGGGGGUGACGGAGAAGGCUAAAGCAGCGGCAGCAGUGCCGUCCAAGCUCGUAGGCGGAUCUUCCUGGCAAAUCCGGAAGGUCAUUCAACGCCGAGAAGUGAGUGCGAGUCGAACCGCAAGGUAAGACGAAGUGUUUGAUGCCCCGCUUCCAGGAAAAGCCUCUAAGCUUCAGGUAAUAGUUGUCCGUACCGUAAACCGACACUGGUGGGUGAGCAGAUGAUCUGCUUAGGCGCUUGAGAGAACUCUGGUUAAGGAACUCUGCAAAUUGAUACCGUAACUUCGGAAGAAGGUAUGCC